Non-coding RNA from Cinara cedri, 257 nucleotides. Lineage: Eukaryota; Metazoa; Arthropoda; Insecta; Hemiptera; Aphididae. The record is from the annotation of a GenBank genome assembly.
CAACUAUGAGAGUCACUUCCAGUUGACCACACUUGGUGCUCAAAUAGUUUUGACGUCGGGAUUGUCUGUGGUGGUUUCCAUCUAUCUAGUGACUAGGGGACUAAUAAUAACUCCGCCCCCGCGUCGACGGUCAAUAUUCCCUACUUAAUUUCGACCAAAUUAAUGACAUUCCCAAUAGAGAUGGGUUUCUCCUUAACUUCAUCUUCUCCAACAAUGAUUCUAUCCGAGUAAACCACAUUACCGAUCCUUUUAUUACU